UGGGGAAUUUUGGACAAUGGGCGAAAGCCUGAUCCAGCAAUGCCGCGUGUGUGAAGAAGGCCUUCGGGUUGUAAAGCACUUUUGUCCGGAAAGAAAUCCUUGGCUCUAAUACAGUCGGGGGAUGACGGUACCGGAAGAAUAAGCACCGGCUAACUACGUGCCAGCAGCCGCGGUAAUACGUAGGGUGCAAGCGUUAAUCGGAAUUACUGGGCGUAAAGCGUGCGCAGGCGGUUUGCUAAGACCGAUGUGAAAUCCCCGGGCUCAACCUGGGAACUGCAUUGGUGACUGGCAGGCUAGAGUAUGGCAGAGGGGGGUAGAAUUCCACGUGUAGCAGUGAAAUGCGUAGAGAUGUGGAGGAAUACCGAUGGCGAAGGCAGCCCCCUGGGCCAAUACUGACGCUCAUGCACGAAAGCGUGGGGAGCAAACAGGAUUAGAUACCCUGGUAGUCCACGCCCUAAACGAUGUCAACUAGUUGUUGGGGAUUCAUUUCCUUAGUAACGUAGCUAACGCGUGAAGUUGACCGCCUGGGGAGUACGGUCGCAAGAUUAAAACUCAAAGGAAUUGACGGGGUCAGCUGUUU
This 580-nucleotide ribosomal RNA is filed under the name uncultured bacterium. RNAcentral describes it as "partial 16S ribosomal RNA". It matches the Rfam family "Bacterial small subunit ribosomal RNA", at positions 355 to 928 of the family's 1533-position model. The record is from RNAcentral.